This 72-nucleotide transfer RNA is filed under the name Coscinodiscus wailesii. RNAcentral describes it as "tRNA-Met". It matches the Rfam family "tRNA". Rfam says of the family: Transfer RNA (tRNA) molecules are approximately 80 nucleotides in length. Their secondary structure includes four short double-helical elements and three loops (D, anti-codon, and T loops). Lineage: Eukaryota; Bacillariophyta; Coscinodiscophyceae; Coscinodiscales; Coscinodiscaceae. The record is from RNAcentral.
AAGCUUAUAGUUUAAUGGUAGAACGUCCCGCUCAUAACGGUUUUGUUGUAGGUUCGAAUCCUACUGAGCUUA